UACAGAGGUGGCGAGCGUUACUCGGAUUUAUUGGGUGUAAAGGGCAAGUAGGUGUCCUGACAAGUUAGAAGUGAAAUCCUGCAGCUUAACUGCAGAACUGCUUUUAAAACUGUCGGGAUUGAGUCUGGGAGAGGAAAGCGGAAUUCUCGGUGUAAGAGUGAAAUCUGUAGAUAUCGAGAGGAACACCAGUGGCGAAGGCGGCUUUCUGGCCUAGUACUGACACUGAAUUGCGAAAGCUCGGGGAG
RNAcentral lists this ribosomal RNA (245 nucleotides) under uncultured bacterium. RNAcentral describes it as "partial 16S ribosomal RNA". It matches the Rfam family "Bacterial small subunit ribosomal RNA", at positions 524 to 768 of the family's 1533-position model. The record is from RNAcentral.